Cyanistes caeruleus (blue tit) is the source of this 985-nucleotide non-coding RNA. NCBI's taxonomy places the organism in Eukaryota, Metazoa, Chordata, Aves, Passeriformes, Paridae. The record is from RefSeq and is a predicted model, not a curated record.
GCCUGGGGAAAUUCGCAUGCGAGGAAGGAGACAGAACUAGCAAACUGGGCAUUUCAAGGGUUUAAAGCUGCAUUUCAGGGCACUUCUACCCACACCCCGGCACCAAAUAUUUCCAACGGGAGCAGGCCCAGCGGGUAUGUAACGUGAAGAGGCUCUUUCACCUUACUUCAGCCUGCUAAAAGCAGGCAUCUUUUGGGCAUUUGAAGCAGCAGAAGUUUUGAAGACACCUUGAAGAAAACAAUAUUGAAUACAGGGAGUAUUUAAGUUAAUGAUUCUGGGCUGGGGGUUCAGGGGCGAUAAGAUGCUUUUAUAAUGACUCUUCUUCAUGGCUUUUUUUUUAGGAGGAUUGCAAUUUCCAGAAGUUCUAGAUCACGUCAAGUGCGAUGUUUCUGAUUCUCUCAGCAGAUUCAUCGUAACACAAAGGGAACCGCCCCCACAGCAGCUUUCCUUAGCAGCAGAUCGGCCUCUCGCACGGAUUCGCUUCGGAGAGAUAAGUCGAGGGCUGUGGUCACAGAGGGGAUCAAAACAGGGCGGUGGGGUAGGAUUCACACCGGUUAGGGGUUUUGAGUCAUGCGGAGGGGAAGGUUUGAGAAAUGGCCUCUGGGGCCACAGUGAGGGAAAGGCUCACUUUAGCUAACAAUGCUGAGGUGGGCAGGGCAGAGCAGUCCCAGGGUGGGUUGUCACUUGUCUCUCGUGCUUUCGUAUCUUCUGUGCAUCUCAUGUAAAGCGUCUCUUGCCUUAGCCCUCCCAGGAGCUUAUGAGAAAGACCAGGUCCUUCCGUUCAUCUCCCAUCUUUGCGUUCCUCGGCCCGACGCCGGCGAAACUUCGAUUCGGGAGCUCAGACAGGCAUCAGAAUCGCAUCUGUCUUUAGAAGCAUGUGAUCGGAUGUUUUUUUAGGUCUUGUUCUCAGCUGUGUUGACAGCUAUGUGCAGCAAUGUUUCUUUACAGUGGAUAAGGACUUGUGCCGAUUCAAAGGCAGGCAGAG